This is a non-coding RNA of Pseudomonas entomophila, 76 nucleotides long. NCBI's taxonomy places the organism in Bacteria, Pseudomonadati, Pseudomonadota, Gammaproteobacteria, Pseudomonadales, Pseudomonadaceae. The record is from Rfam.
GGCCCGGCUUUUGCUGUCGCUCACUCAUCAGGCCAUCAACGUCGAUGGCCGACUUUCAUCACGACGAAGGCGCCGU